CAGUAGCCGCGGGAAUACCGGGGAUGCAAGCGUUAUCCGGAAUUAUUGGGCGUAAAGGGCUCGCAGACGGUUUCUUAAGUCUGAUGUGAAAGCCCCCGGCUCAACCGGGGAGGGUCAUUGGAAACUGGGAAACUUGAGUGCAGAAGAGGAGAGUGGAAUUCCACGUGUAGCGGUGAAAUGCGUAGAAAUGUGGAGGAACACCAGUGGCGAAGGCGACUCUCUGGUCUGUAACUGACGCUGAGGAGCGAAAGCGUGGGGAGCGAACAGGAUUAGAUACCCGCGUAGUCCCUGUCUCUUAUAC
Molecule: ribosomal RNA, 301 nt
Filed under: uncultured bacterium
Lineage: Bacteria
Description: partial 16S ribosomal RNA
Rfam family: Bacterial small subunit ribosomal RNA
Source: RNAcentral